GAUGAGAACGUAGCGAAAUGCGAUAAGUAAUGCGAAUUGCAGAUCUCCGUGAGUCAUUGAAUCUUUGAACGCACAUUGCGCCCUCGGGUAUUCCCGAGGGCAUGCCUGUCCGAGCGUCAUUAUCCAACCAUCAAGCUCGGCUUGCGGUUGAGCCCCGCACCGUCCCCGGGACGGUGGGCUCGAAACAUGUUGGGCGCCCGUGAGGUUGUCGGUGCAGCGAGCUCUCGAGCACGUGCCGGGCAACCGCUCUGGGCGUCGGCCAGCCCCCCCAUUUUCUCAGGUUGACCUCGGAUCAGGUAGGAAUACCCGCUGAACUUAAGCAUAUCAAUAAGCGGAGGA
RNAcentral lists this unclassified non-coding RNA (339 nucleotides) under soil metagenome. RNAcentral describes it as "partial contains 5.8S ribosomal RNA, internal transcribed spacer 2, and large subunit ribosomal RNA". The stretch from base 5 to 119 matches the Rfam family "5.8S ribosomal RNA", at positions 40 to 154 of the family's 154-position model. The record is from RNAcentral.